CCUUGGGAUGCCAUUUAGAGUAUUUUGUCAAACUGGGCAUUUGGAGCCUGUCCCAAGAGGAUGGAGAGACAGUCAUUCCAAACGUCUCUGCUGGGGACUGCUUUGACAGACUGCCGCCACCACUGUGGGAGAAGACUGACAGUGCUGCUGGGGCCUCCCCCAGCCCCUGGCUCUCCAACCAGCUCCUGGGCUUCCGGGGACCUGGCAAAAUGGGACACAUAGUGUCAUUGUGGCCUCCCCUCCUUGAGGUCCCGUUGGUGUGAGAUACCAAGACAGACCCCGGCAUUGGUCAUUGUUACUACAGGUCCCCAGCUGCAGCCAUUCAGGCUCACAGGCUGAGGGGGAAAAAAAGGAAGAACAAAACUUUUUGAUGGCUUGUCUGGUUCCUGAGAGAGCCUGAUGCCCACCUCUUCCCUGAAAGAAAGAUGCUGUUUCUAACACACAGACUGCGAGUCAAUGAGAAGGAAGACAGAGAAGUGGUGGGAGAGAGGAAGUCCAGCAAGUGUGCUCCUUCCCCCGCCGUCCUGUGGCGGAGAUGGAAGUACCAUUGAAACGCCCAAGGCCAAAAAAGGAAGAAAAGGAGUUGUCAAACCUUUGAGCCCCCACAAAUGCUUUCACAGCCCAGGACACUUCCCCAAACACCUUCCUCAGCCACACCAUCGUUUCAGCAUUCCUCCUACCGAAAUGGCACGCGUCUCUUGGAUAUCUCCUUUUAUUCGAGCAUAUGAAGAAGUUUUUCAGAAAGAGUUAAUGGCACUGCUUCACUGCCAUACAGCACACGGUGUUGAGAUGAUGCAAAUUUCGUCGUCCGCCUGCUUCUCAUUCCUCUGCAGACCAACACCUGGACCACUCGCAGGCUGAGAAUCACAAGUUCAGAAUCUGCUGUUGCCAUUGAAAAUUUCAACAGCUCAUUUCAGUGUGUGACCCUGAUCCUGUCUAUCCUUCAUUAUCGCCACAAGGGGGAUCAUUCUGGGCUACACCAAAUCUGGCGAUGGGCAUACCAUGAAGUCUGGAGGGUUUCAGUGAAGACAUCAGCCCAGGUGAUGGGGUCAAGGUCCACUCUUGGUUUGGCCCCUGUUGCCUGUGUCUUUAGGUACCCCCGUGUCUGCAGGCAAGGAAAAAGGUACAGAUGAGUAAAACUGCUGUCCCCAGGGAAAUGAAAGAAGAGAACAGAAGACUACCGGGGCUUCCAUUUGGCAUGUCAAGAGGCAGUCAUAAACUGCAGACCACAAAUCACAAUCAAAAGAACUUUGUGAAAUUCUGUAAUCUUGUAUCUUACCAGUAUUUAUAUUGUGUUACUCUCUGUUUGUUUUGUAGCAGUAAUUCAAAGCAAAACCCUAUUUUUUUUUUUAAUGUGAUGGGAGGAAACGCAUAAUAUGUGUGUCUUUUGGGAGUAACAAAGAGGGAGAGAAUCGGGAGACCAUUUUUGGAGGGAGAAACCAAAAUCAUAUAGCGCAGAACAGCUCAACCACUUACUGACUGUUUAACCUUGGGAAUGUUUCUUAACCUCUCUUUGUCUCAGUUUCCUCAUCUAUAAAAUGGAAACAAUAACAGGACCUGCUUCAUAAAGGUUAGUAAAAUAACACAUGUAAGAUACACAGGAGAGUGUUUGCAUAUAAUAAGACUUCAAUGAAAAUAAUUGUGGUUGCACUAUCAUCUUUCUUUUUUACGCUGAAAUAGGAAAACAGGCUGAAUUCCUAGGACUUGUGACAAACAGAAAAAGAAAACAGAGGAAGAUUAUUUAGGACUGAUACGGAGCUAUGAGUCUAAGCAAUCAAAAAACUAUUAUGGAUUUACUGAACUGGGAUUUGAAACCCAAGCAUACUCUCAAAAUGAAAAACAAGGUCUCCGUUGAGGCUACUAUAACGGUGCCCAUAUCAUUGGUACCUAUGACAUAUGAAAGACUGUAACUCUACCUUCUUCUAUCUUGACCUCCAGCUGUCAAAAACAAGAGUGUGUUCAAAGAUUGGACAGCCGUUGGAACCCAAUGCAAAACACUCACAAGUCUCCUCAGAACUCUUGGUCUGAGAAAUGGUUACUUUGUCAAUGACCUUAGGCAAGAUUGCUUUGGGGUUUAAGUGAGGUGGAUUUCUGAGUUGCUUUUUCUUGGUGAAGUUUUUCUCUUUUGAUUGUAAUUUGAUUGGUUAUACCAGACGGUAAAUGGAUUGGAAAGCACACUGGCUGCAGAAGUGAGAGAACUGUGAUUGCAGUCUUUGUUUUCCUUAAGUGUCACUCUGAAGACAACAUUCUAUUUCUAGGGAGUUCUCGUCUACGUAAAGAAGAGGUUGGAUUUGGUGAUCAUAAAUGUCCCUACCUCUUUAAAAUUUUAUGGACCUAUAAAGGUAUAAUUAUAAAAUAGUGGGACUGAUUUUCCUGGCCAUCAUUACUCUAUCAUCAAAACUGAUUUAUAUAGCACCCUUCUUUGAAAGUUCUGGGCAUUCUACACAGAGCAAUUGAGAAAACAGAGAGGAA
Molecule: long non-coding RNA, 2472 nt
Organism: Equus caballus (horse)
Lineage: Eukaryota; Metazoa; Chordata; Mammalia; Perissodactyla; Equidae
Source: Ensembl